RNAcentral lists this ribosomal RNA (277 nucleotides) under uncultured bacterium. RNAcentral describes it as "partial 16S ribosomal RNA". It matches the Rfam family "Bacterial small subunit ribosomal RNA", at positions 28 to 303 of the family's 1533-position model. The record is from RNAcentral.
GAUAAACGCUGGCGGCGUGCCUAACACAUGCAAGUCGAACGUCCUCUGGCCGCAAGGCUGGAGGGAGUGGCGGACGGGUGAGUAACACAUGGGAACCUACCUUCCAGUGAGGAAUACCGGCGAGAAAUCGCCGACAAGACCGCAUGGGCUUCUCCUUAGGGGGAAGCAAAGUUUCUUCGCGAGAGGAGACGCUGGAAGAUGGGCCUGUGGCCGAUUAGCUAGCUGGUGGGGUAAGAGCCUACCAGGGCGACGAUCGGUAGCUGGUCUGAGAGGACGA